AGAAGCAUAUAGCAGGUCUGGUCAACAUUUCAUACCCUUUAACUCACAUAGAUCUGGGAUGAGAAGCAUAUAGCAGGUCUGGUCAACAUUUCAUACCCUUUAACUCACAUAGAUCUGGGAUGAGAAGCAUAUAGCAGGUCUGGUCAACAUUUCAUACCCUUUAACUCACAUAGAUCUGGGAUGAGAAGCAUAUAGCAGGUCUGGUCAACAUUUCAUACCCUUUAACUCACAUAGAUCUGGGAUGAGAAGCAUAUAGCAGGUCUGGUCAACAUUUCAUACCCUUUAACUCACAUAGAUCUGGGAUGAGAAGCAUAUAGCAGGUCUGGUCAACAUUUCAUACCCUUUAACUCACAUAGAUCUGGGAUGAGAAGCAUAUAGCAGGUCUGGUCAACAUUUCAUACCCUUUAACUCACAUAGAUCUGGGAUGAGAAGCAUAUAGCAGGUCUGGUCAACAUUUCAUACCCUUUAACUCACAUAGAUCUGGGAUGAGAAGCAUAUAGCAGGUCUGGUCAACAUUUCAUACCCUUUAACUCACAUAGAUCUGGGAUGAGAAGCAUAUAGCAGGUCUGGUCAA
Molecule: long non-coding RNA, 574 nt
Organism: Oncorhynchus keta (chum salmon)
Lineage: Eukaryota; Metazoa; Chordata; Actinopteri; Salmoniformes; Salmonidae
Exons: 3
Source: RefSeq, a predicted model, not a curated record